AUAGGGGCAACACAUUUGGGCGACGCCCCCUUUCACCACGCUGAUGACCGUUUGAAGAAGAGGAAGUGCGCUCGCGGCUUCGGUGCCGCUGGGGGCUCGUCGCAAGGCCUCGCCAUGUCAGAGCCAUCCGAGCCGUCGCGGACGCCGACGUCAUCCUCAGUGGCGAAGGACGAGACCUCAGCUCUGCAAAGAACGAAGAGCUCCAUCGAUGCGUCGUCGCUGCAGCAAAAAGCCAGCUCAACCAG
Molecule: long non-coding RNA, 245 nt
Organism: Dermacentor silvarum
Lineage: Eukaryota; Metazoa; Arthropoda; Arachnida; Ixodida; Ixodidae
Exons: 4
Source: RefSeq, a predicted model, not a curated record